Molecule: ribosomal RNA, 430 nt
Filed under: Acidobacteriota bacterium
Lineage: Bacteria; Pseudomonadati; Acidobacteriota
Description: Acidobacteria bacterium partial 16S ribosomal RNA
Rfam family: Bacterial small subunit ribosomal RNA
Source: RNAcentral
CGGGGAAUAUUGGACAAUGGGCGCAAGCCUGAUCCAGCCAUGCCGCGUGUGUUAAGAAGGCCUUUUGGUUGUAAAGCACUUUAAGCGAGGAGGAGGCUACUUGGAUUAAUACUCUAGGAUAGUGGACGUUACUCGCAGAAUAAGCACCGGCUCACUCUGUGCCAGCAGCCGCGGUAAUAAAGAGGGUGCGAGCGUUAAUCGGAUUUACUGGGCGUAAAGCGUGCGUAGGCGGCUUCUUAAGUCGGCUGUGAAAUCCCUGAGCUUAACUUAGGAAUUGCAUUCGAUACUGGGAAGCUAGAGGAUGGGAGAGGAUGGUAGAAUUCCAGGUGUAGCGGUGAAAUGCGUAGAGAUCUGGAGGAAUACCGAUGGCGAAGGCAGCCAUCUGGCCUAAUACUGACGCUGCGGUACGAAAGCAUGGGGAGAAAACAGG